Molecule: ribosomal RNA, 394 nt
Filed under: uncultured bacterium
Lineage: Bacteria
Description: bacterial SSU rRNA
Rfam family: Bacterial small subunit ribosomal RNA
Source: RNAcentral
AACGAACGCUGGCGGCGUGCCUAACACAUGCAAGUCGAACGAGAAUGCAGGCUUCGGUCUGCUAGUAAAGUGGCGCACGGGUGAGUAACACGUGGAUAACGUACAUUGUAGUGGGGGAUAACCAGGUGAAAGCUUGGCUAAUACCGCAUGAGUCUGUCGGGACGCAGGUUUUGACAGGGAAAGUGAGCAAUCACGCUACGAGAUCGGUCCGCGGCCCAUUAGCUAGUUGGCGGGGUAAUGGCCCACCAAGGCGACGAUGGGUAGCUGGUCUGAGAGGAUGAUCAGCCACACUGGAACUGAGACACGGUCCAGACUCCUACGGGAGGCAGCAGUGGGGAAUUUUGGACAAUGGGCGCAAGCCUGAUCCAGCCAUGCCGCGUGAGUGAAGAAGGCC